This 554-nucleotide ribosomal RNA is filed under the name uncultured bacterium. RNAcentral describes it as "bacterial SSU rRNA". It matches the Rfam family "Bacterial small subunit ribosomal RNA", at positions 347 to 916 of the family's 1533-position model. The record is from RNAcentral.
GGCAGCAGUAAAGAAUCUUCCACAAUGGACGAAAGUCUGAUGGAGCAAUACCGCGUGAGUGAUGAAUGUCGAAAGAUUGUAAAACUCUUUUCUGAGGGAAGAAUUAUGACGAUACCUUAGGAAUAAGCACCGGCUAACUCCGUGCCAGCAGCCGCGGUAAUACGGAGGGUGCAAGCGUUACCCGGAAUCAUUGGGCGUAAAGCGUCCGCAGGCGGUUAUUUAAGUCAGAUAUUAAAUCUUGGGGCCCAACUCCAAGGCUGUAUCUGAAACUGAAUAACUAGAGUCUUUCAGGGGCAUAUGGAAUUCUGUGUGUAGGGGUAAAAUCCGUAGAUACACAGAGGAACACCAAAAGCGAAGGCAAUAUGCUGGGAAAGUACUGACGCUCAUGGACGAAAGCGUAGGUAGCGAACGGGAUUAGAUACCCCGGUAGUCUACGCCGUAAACGAUGGAUACUAGUUGUUGGAGGGCUCGACCCCUUCAGUGACGACGCUAACGCAUUAAGUAUCCCGCCUGGGGAGUACGGUCGCAAGAUUAAAACUCAAAUGAAUUGACGG